CAGCCGCCGCGGUAAUACAGAGGUGCCGAGCGUUAGGCGGAAUCACUGGGCUUAAAGCGUGUGUAGGCGGAUUUUUAAGUACCUUGUGAAAUCCCAUGGCUUAACCAUGGAACUGCUGGGUAUACUGGAUAUCUUGAGCCAACUAGGGGCUACCGGAACAAAUGGUGGAGCGGUGAAAUGCGUAGAUAUCAUUUGGAACGCCAAUGGUGAAAACAGGUAGCUGGGGUUGUGCUGACGCUGAGACACGAAAGCCAGGGGAGCGAACGGGAUUAGAUACCCCGGUAGUCCUGGCCGUAAACGAUGUCGUCUAGAUCGUGGAACCUCUGACGGUGUCACGGUCGAAGCAAAAGUGCUAAGUCGACCGCCUGGGAAGUACGGUCGCAAGGCUAAAACUCAAAUGAAUUGACGG
This 409-nucleotide ribosomal RNA is filed under the name uncultured soil bacterium. Its description in RNAcentral is "bacterial SSU rRNA". It matches the Rfam family "Bacterial small subunit ribosomal RNA", at positions 509 to 916 of the family's 1533-position model. The record is from RNAcentral.